This 91-nucleotide transfer RNA is filed under the name Candidatus Pelagibacteraceae bacterium. Its description in RNAcentral is "tRNA-Ser". It matches the Rfam family "tRNA". Rfam says of the family: Transfer RNA (tRNA) molecules are approximately 80 nucleotides in length. Their secondary structure includes four short double-helical elements and three loops (D, anti-codon, and T loops). Further hydrogen bonds mediate the characteristic L-shaped molecular structure. tRNAs have two regions of fundamental functional importance: the anti-codon, which is responsible for specific mRNA codon recognition, and the 3' end, to which the tRNAs corresponding amino acid is attached (by aminoacyl-tRNA synthetases). tRNAs cope with the degeneracy of the genetic code in two manners: having more than one tRNA (with a specific anti-codon) for a particular amino acid; and 'wobble' base-pairing, i.e. permitting non-standard base-pairing at the 3rd anti-codon position. The record is from RNAcentral. Lineage: Bacteria; Pseudomonadati; Pseudomonadota; Alphaproteobacteria; Candidatus Pelagibacterales; Candidatus Pelagibacteraceae.
GGAAGAGUGGGUGAGUGGUUUAAACCAGGCGGUUGCUAACUGUCCGUAGGCGUAAAGUUUACCGAGAGUUCGAAUCUCUCCUCUUCCGCCA